AAAAUAACUUUGAAUCAUAAAGGAAAAUGAAAGGGAGGCGUUGCUAUGCAGCAGGGUACUUACGGUUAGAACUUAGGAAUAAAGGUUCAGUGAAAAAAAAAUAUAUAUGAUAUGAGGUUGAGCCUGGAAACCAUGACUCAUAUAUCGUUAUAAUAGCAGUUUACCAAAGAACUACAAGAUGUUAAGGUAUUAUAUUUUUCUUGAAAUUUAAUUUAUUUUGGUUUGAUUCUAUCAAAAUUUCUUUUCUCAAAACCAAACUGAACAGAAUAAACCAAGUGCUCACCCCUACAUGAUAAUACUUGUGAACAGAAAUGUACAUGUGCACUCUUCAAGCAAGAGCAAGGGAUUGUAUAUCAUUUUGAAAGCUUUGUGUGUCCUAAUGCAUGAUGAAAUAAAUUUAAGACACAUUUCUGUAUAACAUGGUUAUAUGAUGCAGCUCUAGUAAUAUCCUAAAGUUUGGAGGCAUGAGCUGUGAUUUUGCUCAAGGCAAUUGCUGUCUUCGAACCAGAAGAACGCCCCAAAUGCUUGCAGAUGAAAUUUCCUGCUAAAAUGACCUUCUGGAGAUCCACAUUAGUCUUGACUCCAAGACCAUUGAGCAUGUAGACAACAUCUUCAGUAGCAACAUUACCAGAAGCCCCCUUAGCAUAUGGGCAACCCCCAAGACCAGAGACUGAUGAAUCAACAGUGUUGAUCCCCAUAUGGAGUGAUGCUAGAAUAUUUGAAAGAGCUUGACCAUAAGUGUCGUGAAAAUGGACAGCAAGCUUAUCAACAGGGACAACAUUAAGAACAGCUCCAAGCAUUGGAAUGACAGUACCUGAGUCAUGGAAAGAGAGAAAUAAAAUAAAAUAAAAAUUAACUGAGUAAAAAUUAAAUAGUUAAUCUCUCUCUUUCUUUUUUUUUUUGGGACAAGCAACAUCAUUCUAGUUCAGGUUUGAGCCAGAAAAUCCCUAAGGUGAAAUGGGACUUUACUGCUCUGAUACCAAGAAAGUCCAAUGGGCAAAGCAAGAGAAGCUUUGUCAAACAAUGGUGUCAAAAAAUUAGCAAGAGAUACAGUAUCUUAGAUAACAAGAGAAAAUGCUCUCUGCUCAUCAGUGGGGAAAUAAAAAAACAACUGAUGUGCCAUAUUAUCUGAUAAGUUCUGGAUUCUGAAGGCACAGAUAUGGGGUUUGGGGAAUCAGGAUGGUGAUAUUGGAUUCUUAGUGUAUCAUCUGAGAUGACCGACAGUGUCCCAUAGGCUAAUGUUAAAAAAGGUCAUAAAAAAGUUUUUCUUCCUUUUCCCCUGCUGAGAUGUAUUAAUCUCACCAGACUAGCUGUAGGAGAAAACUACCCCCGUUAUUUCAUCUCAACCCUCUAGCAUUUUGAAAUCUGUUUUGAUAUUCAAGAACUUGAUUUUGCCCACUUGAAGGGAUGCUCCAAAAUCUCUUUGCUAAAUAGGGUAUUACUUUGGUCUUUUUUAGUUGUUUGACUAGUACUCUCAGAAACACCUUUUAGAUUUACAACAUUAUUUGAGAAAUUUGCAUGGAUGUACAAACUUAAGUGUAAAUAUUUUACAAUUUCAGGUUUUUUUUUUUACUAUUUAAAACAUAACAGCAAUUUCUUUAAUUCUUUGUUGAAGUGUAUGGGAUGUCACUCAAACAGUUGCAUCAAAUUCUAAAUAGGCUUUCUAAAUUUCUUAAAACUCUUAUUAAUGACUACACAGCACGUAAGCAAAUCAGUCAGAAAAAAAAUAUACAAAACUGAAACAUAAAAUAAACUCAAAAAAAGAACAAUUUACAAAUUAUUUUAUAUUCUUUGCUACAGUAUUCUAUGGAAAAAUUUUGCCCAGCUAAAGUAAUGGGAGAAUAAACAGACCGAUAAAAUGUUACAAGAAAUGAAUUAAAGAAGUAGACAGGCCAAAGACGUCUAAGAGAGAGAAGACAAUUCCUAGAGAUGGUACUCAUCCCCCCUAGCUUUCUCUUUGUGUGUGCACGCGUGUGUGUGCACGCAUGUGUGUGUGUUAACAUUUUCCUUUUUAUUUCCAUUUUUAAGCAUACGACUUUGCACCACAAUCCCUAAGGCAUGCUUCUCAUUUGCUCCUAGGUGAUGGCACUUUCCACAAGCCUUUGAACCUUCUGCCUUAGGCAUGCAUUUAACUACACUAAGAUACAUUGUAAUUCUAACUAGCCCACAAGGAAAUUAAAGAUCAUGGCUUCAUUUGAUUAUUAGAAUAGGAUAGAAAUAGGUAAGUUGUUCCAAGUUUUGGUUCAAAUUAAAAGUGAAAAAAAAAAAUUAUUUCAUGGAAUGGCUAUUUCAUUAUCUCAAUGUUCAACUAAAAUUUAAAAUAAGUAAAAAAUAUUAGUAUUAGCAAAAGGAAGUUUCAAACAUUACCAGGAGUACCAACACCAAUUGUAUCACCAAGGGAAAUUUCAGAACAACCCAUAUCGCAAAGUCGUUUAGCAACAUAUGCAACAUUUGACGGAGAUAUCAUUCCUUCUACUGGACACCCCACAACACAUGAUAUAUAUCCACGAACAGGAAUUGAAAGCUUGCUGGCAGCAAGGGCAACAUCAUUAUAACGACCCAGACUAUCUUCAAUGCUGCAAUUGAUAUUUGACUUUGAAAAAGAUUCUGAAGCUGAUGCAAAGAUGGCAACUUCCUUCGCUCCAGCUGCAACAGCUGCUUCAAAACCUUUCAGAUUAGGAGUUAAUACUGGAAAUCUAGCACCUUCAAGAUCUCUAAUUGCUGCCAUUACAUCCUUUGCAUCAGCUAGCUGUGGUACCCAUUUUGGUGAGACAAAACUUGUUGCCUCAACAACAGGCAACCCAGAAGAAACUAGCAUUCUAAUCAACUCAACCUUGACAGGAGUAGGUACAACAUCCUUCUCAUUUUGUAAUCCAUCCCUUGGACCUACUUCAACUAUCUUCACAUAUUCUGGAAUGCUUCCUAAAACCUUGUCUGAAAAUCCUCUUAUUGAUUUGUCAUUUGACAAGAAAUUAUAAUGACGACUUGACAUGUGCCAAUCAUGGCAAUGAUUAUCAAUUUCUAAAGAAUUCCCACCAAUACUUGCAUGUGUAAGAGUCAAGAAACCAGCCGGAGAUACAUUUCUUCUUUGUCCACUCCAGUAUAUUGUCUCUCGUGUAUCAUUGGCACCUUCUGAAUAGGAAACUCCAAAAGAAAUGUGCCCUUGGAGCAAGCAGCUAUCACCUGAAUUAAUCGUCGAGGGAAAAGGGAUGCAACGCCGGCAAAGCUUAUCAAAAGCCUUCUUUGAGGCUAGCAUCGCAAAAUCAAACGAAGCUAGAGUAUAUUUUGAGGAAAAAACUGCUUAUUAUCAGGGACCAGAAUGGAAGUAGGAAAAGAAGAAGAGAGACACCAUCAAUUUGCUUUGAUAACAGACCAACCGAUAAGGCUGAGCAUUUGGUUUGGUCGGUUUGGUUUCGAACCGAAUCGAACCUACCGGCCAAACUGAAAAAUCAAACAAUCAAUUAUAAAACCGAUCAGCGUGAUAAAAUUGAACCGAACCGAACCGAAAAUCUCGAUUCGGUUCAGCUUUUUGAUUUGGGUCGAGAACCAUUAAUUCUAACUCUCUAAUCACCCACAUACAACCAAACAUGGAUGAUGGAAACUAACAUCCCAAUACAAUCAAUCAAAAGACUCAUAUAAUCAGCUUUCAAAAAGAAAACGAUUAAUUUGAUGCAAAUUGCAGAAGAAUUGUAGAAACGAUGCAGUAUUUCUUUGAGGCAUUUUAUCAAACACUUUCCGAGCGAAGUCAAUCAGGCCACAUUUCGAGUACAUAUUGAUGAGCAUAUUGCACGUUAGAGUGUCUGCUUUUAGCCCAAAAUGAAUAAGUUGUGCAUGGCAGGCCUUGCCUUUCAUGGGUUCUCGACUUCUUGCACAAAAUUGUAAGAGGUAAUGCAGGUUUGUUAAUGGUGUGGCUUUUGUUUCUUUCCAUAACCGGUCUUCUUGUAUUGUUCUCUCAGGUUCGGCAGCAUAUGCUCGCACCGAAAUGCAUCUAAAAUGGAGAUUAACCUUGUCGCUGAGUCCCUUUUUGUACCUGCUCACGGUUUUCAUAUAAUUGCUUGUUAGUUGGUUUAUUUGAUCAUUGCCUGUAUGACGAUGGGAAGUGAGAUCAUUUCCACGCUUCCACCAUAACCAAUAAGUCACCCAACAAAUAACACACCGUCUAUGGCCAC
Molecule: unclassified non-coding RNA, 4169 nt
Filed under: Hevea brasiliensis (rubber tree)
Lineage: Eukaryota; Viridiplantae; Streptophyta; Magnoliopsida; Malpighiales; Euphorbiaceae
Source: RNAcentral